AUAUAUGUAGCUCAGUUGGUUAGAGCGCUGCAUGCACCGGGAUCGCAGGGCCUCAGGUUCGAUUCCUGGUAUAUAGA
Paramuricea clavata is the source of this 77-nucleotide non-coding RNA. The record is from the annotation of a GenBank genome assembly. Lineage: Eukaryota; Metazoa; Cnidaria; Anthozoa; Malacalcyonacea; Plexauridae.